UUUAUUGCAAUAUUCAGGCAGCUUUAAAAUAGUAAUCCAGUUCUGGACAAAAAUACAGUAGAAGCAUUUUGCAUAGGUAGUUUGAAAAUAGGACAGAAAUUUAUGAACAAUUAGAAAACAGCUUUAGAGACAAACAAGUUCGGAUAGAGGCGGAUUAAUUAGAACGCGACUUGAAGGUGAUUAGUCAGUUUUUUUUCGGCCUAAGGCUUUCCUAGGCAUUAUUAAAUACAGUCAACAAGCACAUUUUU
This 248-nucleotide long non-coding RNA is filed under the name Nicotiana benthamiana. RNAcentral's name for it is "long non-coding RNA (NBEN_LNC006714)". Lineage: Eukaryota; Viridiplantae; Streptophyta; Magnoliopsida; Solanales; Solanaceae. The record is from RNAcentral.